UUUGUGUGAGCAACAAGGCUGUUUAUUCACUUGAGUGCAAGUGGGCUGAGUCUGAAAACAGAGUCAGUGAAGGGAGAUGGGGAAGGGGUUGCUUUAUAGGAGUUGGGUAGGUAAUGGAAAAUUACAGUAAAAAGUGGUUAUCUAUUGUUAGCAGAGGAGGGGGUCACAAGGUACAUGGUGGGGAGAUGAUAAGACCCAUUGUCCAGAAGAAGACUGUCACAAGGUCGAUUGAUCAGUUAAGGUAGGACAGGGACAGGUCACAAUGGUGGAAUGUUGUAAUGUUGGUUAAUCAGUUAAGGCAGGAACUGGCUGUUUUACUUCUUGUGUGGUUUUUCAGCUGCCCCAGACUUCUUGGCUCCUGCAGGCCAUCUGGACAUAUAUGUGCAGGUCACAGGGGUUACAAUGGCUGAGCUUCGGCUCAGAGGCCUGACACCUCUUACUUCUGAGGGAUUGCUCAAGGUAGAAGGUUAAUAAAUUCUUAAACUACCCCCCACUUUCACUACAGAGAUUAAGAGUACAGUUCUGUCCAAGGAUUUGAUCUGGCCCAACAAAGAGCCUUCUUCAGAAGUGGAUUAGUUUUGUCCUUUGGUGAGGCUUGUGAUGGGCCUUAUUUAUUCGUAUUGUAGGCCUCUUAUACUAUUCCAAAAACAAGACAAGGGAACUGAAACCACUUUGCAUAAUAAUGUCACCUAUUAUCUCCAGUGAGGCUAGUCUGGUCACCUCUGGAUCAAUAGUACUCUUUUUUUUUUUUUGAGAUGGAGUUUUGCUCUUCUUGCCCAGGCUGGAGUGCAAUGGCGCGAUCUUGGCUCACUGCAACCUCUGCCUCCCGGGUUUAAGUGAUUCUCCUGCCUCAGCCUCCCGAGUAUUUGGGAUUACAGGCGCCUGCCACCAUGCCCGGCUAAUUUUGCAUUUUUAGUAGAAACGGGGUUUCUCCAUGUUGGUCAGGUUGGUCUCUAACUCCUGACCUCAGGUGAUCCAUCCGCCUCAGCCUCCCAAAGUUCUGGGAUUACAGGCGUGAGCCACCACACCUGGCCAUAGUUGUCUUUCUUAUUGUGGAUUUAAUCUGCAUUGUCCCUAAGAACUCAGAAUUACUGUUGAUGCUUCAAAAGGGUGUGUGUGUGUGUGUGUGUGUUCAGUUAAUCCAGAAAUUCCUCCCAGGAAAAUAGAAGACCCCAGGAGGAGUGGGGCAACAACUCUUUAUCUGCUACGGGCAGACAGAUCUUCAUGAAAACACACAUGAACCUCCAGAACUCGAUGUGCUCCACCAGCCGGCCUUAGCUUGUCAAAGCCAACCUUGGAAUUUCCUGCUGAAGCCCCCAUGGAAUAGCUCAGCUAGCAGGAACUGUAGAAUAGAGGAUCCUUACUUCAGUGCAUCUUGAUGUUCUGAGUGAAGGAACAGCACAGACCCUCUGGGAGACCAUCCCUGUGUGUUAGUGAGGUCUUGCAUUGUAAAGAUCUUGAAGAAAGGAGACUGUGUCUGUGAGUCCUCAACAAAGCAGACACCUGAUUGGAGUUAGGAGUCCAAAGGGUUUAUCCGAAGUGGCACUCACCUCUCAGUCCCAAGAGGGGAUGAAGCCUGUCACCCAUGGUGGGAACUGUAGAAAGUGAUGUCAGUUCUUGGGAACUGAGGCUGUGGUCCAGGUCAUAAUAAAAACAAGUAAAGGAAUGCCAAAAAUGGCCAUGCCAUUAAGCCUGUUUUACACAUAGUAGGCACACGUAGGGGUUAUAUAGAGAAAGAGCCAGAAUUCAAACCCGGGCAGUCUUAACUUCAGAGCUCAUACUGUCGACCUCUUCCCCUGCACAGGCCUUAGCAGUCUUUGUCUCUUUCUGCUCACAGGAUCGGCUUCGCCAUCGCCCGGCGUUUGGCCCAGGACGGGGCCCAUGUGGUCGUCAGCAGCCGGAAGCAGCAGAAUGUGGACCAGGCGGUGGCCACGCUGCAGGGGGAGGGGC
RNAcentral lists this non-coding RNA (1950 nucleotides) under Homo sapiens (human). Lineage: Eukaryota; Metazoa; Chordata; Mammalia; Primates; Hominidae. The record is from RNAcentral.